AGAGUUUGAUCCUGGCUCAGGACGAACGCUGGCGGCGUGCUUAACACAUGCAAGUCGAACGAUGAAGCCCUUCGGGGUGGAUUAGUGGCGAACGGGUGAGUAACACGUGGGCAAUCUGCCCUUCACUCUGGGACAAGCCCUGGAAACGGGGUCUAAUACCGGAUAACACUCCUGCCUGCAUGGGCGGGGGUUAAAAGCUCCGGCGGUGAAGGAUGAGCCCGCGGCCUAUCAGCUUGUUGGUGGGGUAAUGGCCCACCAAGGCGACGACGGGUAGCCGGCCUGAGAGGGCGACCGGCCACACUGGGACUGAGACACGGCCCAGACUCCUACGGGAGGCAGCAGUGGGGAAUAUUGCACAAUGGGCGAAAGCCUGAUGCAGCGACGCCGCGUGAGGGAUGACGGCCUUCGGGUUGUAAACCUCUUUCAGCAGGGAAGAAGCGAAAGUGACGGUACCUGCAGAAGAAGCGCCGGCUAACUACGUGCCAGCAGCCGCGGUAAUACGUAGGGCGCAAGCGUUGUCCGGAAUUAUUGGGCGUAAAGAGCUCGUAGGCGGCUUGUCACGUCGGAUGUGAAAGCCCGAGGCUUAACCUCGGGUCUGCAUUCGAUACGGGCUAGCUAGAGUGUGGUAGGGGAGAUCGGAAUUCCUGGUGUAGCGGUGAAAUGCGCAGAUAUCAGGAGGAACACCGGUGGCGAAGGCGGAUCUCUGGGCCAUUACUGACGCUGAGGAGCGAAAGCGUGGGGAGCGAACAGGAUUAGAUACCCUGGUAGUCCACGCCGUAAACGUUGGGAACUAGGUGUUGGCGACAUUCCACGUCGUCGGUGCCGCAGCUAACGCAUUAAGUUCCCCGCCUGGGGAGUACGGCCGCAAGGCUAAAACUCAAAGGAAUUGACGG
This 893-nucleotide ribosomal RNA is filed under the name uncultured bacterium. RNAcentral describes it as "bacterial SSU rRNA". It matches the Rfam family "Bacterial small subunit ribosomal RNA", at positions 8 to 916 of the family's 1533-position model. The record is from RNAcentral.